RNAcentral lists this ribosomal RNA (868 nucleotides) under Citrobacter cronae. RNAcentral's name for it is "partial 23S ribosomal RNA". It matches the Rfam family "Bacterial large subunit ribosomal RNA", at positions 644 to 1517 of the family's 2925-position model. Lineage: Bacteria; Pseudomonadati; Pseudomonadota; Gammaproteobacteria; Enterobacterales; Enterobacteriaceae. The record is from RNAcentral.
GGUUAACCGUAUAGGGGAGCCGAAGGGAAACCGAGUCUUAACUGGGCGUUAAGUUGCAGGGUAUAGACCCGAAACCCGGUGAUCUAGCCAUGGGCAGGUUGAAGGUUGGGUAACACUAACUGGAGGACCGAACCGACUAAUGUUGAAAAAUUAGCGGAUGACUUGUGGCUGGGGGUGAAAGGCCAAUCAAACCGGGAGAUAGCUGGUUCUCCCCGAAAGCUAUUUAGGUAGCGCCUCGUGAACUCAUCUUCGGGGGUAGAGCACUGUUUCGGCUAGGGGGUCAUCCCGACUUACCAACCCGAUGCAAACUGCGAAUACCGAAGAAUGUUAUCACGGGAGACACACGGCGGGUGCUAACGUCCGUCGUGAAGAGGGAAACAACCCAGACCGCCAGCUAAGGUCCCAAAGUCAUGGUUAAGUGGGAAACGAUGUGGGAAGGCACAGACAGCCAGGAUGUUGGCUUAGAAGCAGCCAUCAUUUAAAGAAAGCGUAAUAGCUCACUGGUCGAGUCGGCCUGCGCGGAAGAUGUAACGGGGCUAAACCAUGCACCGAAGCUGCGGCAGCGACACUAUGUGUUGUUGGGUAGGGGAGCGUUCUGUAAGCCGUUGAAGGUGGCCUGUGAGGGUUGCUGGAGGUAUCAGAAGUGCGAAUGCUGACAUAAGUAACGAUAAUGCGGGUGAAAAACCCGCACGCCGGAAGACCAAGGGUUCCUGUCCAACGUUAAUCGGGGCAGGGUGAGUCGACCCCUAAGGCGAGGCCGAAAGGCGUAGUCGAUGGGAAACAGGUUAAUAUUCCUGUACUUGGUGUUACUGCGAAGGGGGGACGGAGAAGGCUAUGUCGGCCGGGCGACGGUUGUCCCGGUUUAAGC